This 497-nucleotide ribosomal RNA is filed under the name uncultured bacterium. Its description in RNAcentral is "partial 16S ribosomal RNA". It matches the Rfam family "Bacterial small subunit ribosomal RNA", at positions 28 to 507 of the family's 1533-position model. The record is from RNAcentral.
GAUGAACGCUGGCGGCGUGCCUAAUACAUGCAAGUCGAGCGAACGGACGAGAAGCUUGCUUCUCGGAUGUUAGCGGCGGACGGGUGAGUAACACGUGGAUAACCUACCUAUAAGACUGGGAUAACUUCGGGAAACCGGAGCUAAUACCGGAUGAUAUUUUGAACCGCAUGGUUCAAAAGUGAAAGACGGUCUUGCUGUCACUUAUAGAUGGAUCCGCGCUGCAUUAGCUAGUUGGUAAGGUAACGGCUUACCAAGGCAACGAUGCAUAGCCGACCUGAGAGGGUGAUCGGCCACACUGGAACUGAGACACGGUCCAGACUCCUACGGGAGGCAGCAGUAGGGAAUCUUCCGCAAAGGGCGAAAGCCUGACGGAGCAACGCCGCGUGAGUGAUGAAGGUCUUCGGAUCGUAAAACUCUGUUAUUAGGGAAGAACAUAUGUGUAAGUAACUGUGCACAUCUUGACGGUACCUAAUCAGAAAGCCACGGCUAACUACGUG